RNAcentral lists this unclassified non-coding RNA (345 nucleotides) under soil metagenome. RNAcentral's name for it is "partial contains 5.8S ribosomal RNA, internal transcribed spacer 2, and large subunit ribosomal RNA". The stretch from base 1 to 120 matches the Rfam family "5.8S ribosomal RNA", at positions 35 to 154 of the family's 154-position model. The record is from RNAcentral.
GAUGAAGAACGUAGCGAAAUGUGAUAAGUAAUGUGAAUUGCAGAAUUCCGUGAAUCAUCGAAUCUUUGAACGCACAUUGCGCCCUCUGGUAUUCCGGGGGGCAUGCCUGUCCGAGCGUCAUUUGCAACCCUCAAGCCCGGCUUGUGUGAUGGGUGCCGUCCCCUACGGGACGCGCCCCGAAGGCAAUGGCGGCGUCGCGGUUAUCCGAUCAGCCAAAGUGUAUGGGGCUUUGUCACUCACUUUACGGCCCGGACCGGCGCCAGUCCGAAUCAAUCUUUUUUCUAAAGUUGACCUCGGAUCAGGUAGGGAUACCCGCUGAACUUAAGCAUAUCAAUAAGCGGAGGA